CCCUUACGCAGUUUCAGCCUCCUCGCUAAUCGAAUUUUCACCGGUCUUUAGAAAGUCGAUUAACAAGUCGAUCUGUCCAUGGUGACUCUAGGCUCCAGCAUCUCCAACAAAGUCUGCAAACGCGCCUCCCUUCUACAAGAUCGCUGCCUCGGAGGAGAUAUGGUGUUUUCAGGAAGUCGAUCUACGCCUAAGUCUCCUUACGCGCCUCAAGUCUACAAGAUCGCCGCCUCUGAGGAGUUCUGGUGGUUUUGAGCGAAUCGAUCUGCGGAGACUCUGACAAAGUUCUGCUAACGCGCCUCCCUUCCACAAGUUCGCCUCGGAUGACGCUCACCUUGUGUAGAAAAUCUCGGUCUAAGACUCAUCGGCCAGUCACACGUUCAUAUCCCCAAGGACGCGAAGGUGUCGCCUCCACUAACCAUUCGAGGUUUCACAUGUACAGAUUCUUGGAAGAGGCUCAAGCCAUUACAUCUCGAGGAUACAAGUGAAAAUGCCCUUCGUCAACAGCUACUAAAGGGAAUCUGGAACUCCACCGCAUCAAAUUAUAAUUUUCCGUUUCGGUGUUACUGCAAGGAGGGAAGGCUUAAUUGGUAAGUACCUUAAAAGGAUAUUGCAUGGGAACUGGGAAGUUCCUCCUUGAAGUAGAUCUUUUUCAUGCAAGAGGUGAUGUAGGCAAGUGGUAGCUGUAAAAAAUGGCCUUAUAGUCGAGGGUUUAACAACUACCUACAAACUCAUAUUACCAAAAAAAAAAAAACUGAAAAACAGAGAUUUUAAAACAAAAAAAUAAAUAACCUAAAAAGAAAAAACAUGUGUAUAGGUUAAAUCCUCUGGCUCUUGCGACUUGGUUAUUUUUUAGUUGUUAAGAAGAUAUAAAA
Tripterygium wilfordii is the source of this 872-nucleotide long non-coding RNA. RefSeq lists it as uncharacterized. The transcript is spliced from 3 exons. NCBI's taxonomy places the organism in Eukaryota, Viridiplantae, Streptophyta, Magnoliopsida, Celastrales, Celastraceae. The record is from RefSeq and is a predicted model, not a curated record.